RNAcentral lists this ribosomal RNA (207 nucleotides) under uncultured bacterium. RNAcentral's name for it is "partial 16S ribosomal RNA". It matches the Rfam family "Bacterial small subunit ribosomal RNA", at positions 568 to 774 of the family's 1533-position model. The record is from RNAcentral.
UGUGUAGGUGGCGCGCUAAGUCGGGUGUGAAAUUUCGGAGCUUAACUCCGAAACUGCAUUCGAUACUGGCGUGCUUGAGGACUGGAGAGGAGACUGGAAUUCAUGGUGUAGCAGUGAAAUGCGUAGAGAUCAUGAGGAAGACCAGUGGCGAAGGCGGGUCUCUGGACAGUUCCUGACACUGAGACACGAAGGCCGGGGGAGCAAACG